RNAcentral lists this ribosomal RNA (323 nucleotides) under uncultured eukaryote. RNAcentral describes it as "partial 18S ribosomal RNA". It matches the Rfam family "Eukaryotic small subunit ribosomal RNA", at positions 1470 to 1796 of the family's 1831-position model. The record is from RNAcentral.
CCCUUAGAUGUCCUGGGCUGCACGCGCGCUACACUGAUGUGUCCAGUAAGCACCUAACCUCUUCCGAAAGGAACGGGUAACCUUUGCAAAGCACAUCGUGAUGGGGAUAGAUUAUUGCAAUUAUAGUCUUGAACGAGGAAUUCCUAGUAAGCACAAGUCAUCAGCUUGUGUUGAUUACGUCCCUGCCCUUUGUACACACCGCCCGUCGCUCCUACCGAUUGAAUGUUCCGGUGAGCUCUUCGGACUGCGCGGUCUGCAGUUUCUGCGUUCCGUGCGGAAAGUUGCGCAAACCUUAACAUUUAGAGGAAGGAGAAGUCGUAACA